RNAcentral lists this ribosomal RNA (526 nucleotides) under uncultured bacterium. RNAcentral describes it as "bacterial SSU rRNA". It matches the Rfam family "Bacterial small subunit ribosomal RNA", at positions 984 to 1509 of the family's 1533-position model. The record is from RNAcentral.
ACAUCCAGAGAACUUAGCAGAGAUGCUUUGGUGCCUUCGGGAACUCUGAGACAGGUGCUGCAUGGCUGUCGUCAGCUCGUGUUGUGAAAUGUUGGGUUAAGUCCCGNAACGAGCGCAACCCUUUAUCCUUUGUUGCCAGCGGUUCGGCCGGGAACUCAAAGGAGACUGCCGGUGAUAAACCGGAGGAAGGUGGGGAUGACGUCAAGUCAUCAUGGCCCUUACGGCCAGGGCUACACACGUGCUACAAUGGCGCAUACAAAGAGAAGCGACCUCGCGAGAGCAAGCGGACCUCAUAAAGUGCGUCGUAGUCCGGAUUGGAGUCUGCAACUCGACUCCAUGAAGUCGGAAUCGCUAGUAAUCGUAGAUCAGAAUGCUACGGUGAAUACGUUCCCGGGCCUUGUACACACCGCCCGUCACACCAUGGGAGUGGGUUGCAAAGGAAGUAGGUAGCUUAACCUUCGGGAGGGCGCUUACCACUUUGUGAUUCAUGACUGGGGUGAAGUCGUAACAAGGUAAGCGUAGCGAG